AUUGAACGCUGGCGGCAUGCUUUACACAUGCAAGUCGAACGAGUGCCGAACGGGUGAGUAAUAUAUCGGAACUUACCGAGUAAUGGGGGUUAACCCAUCAAACGAUUGGCUAAUACCGCAUAUUUUUCGUGCGGCCGAUAACUGAUUGGCUAGUUGGUGGGGUACAGGCCUCCCAAGGCGACGAUCAGUAGCGGGUCUGAGAGGACGAUCCGCCACACUGGGACUGAGACACGGCCCAGACUCCGACGGGAGGCAGCAGUGGGGAAUUUUGGACAAUGGGGGCAACCCUGAUCCAGCCAUGCCGCGUGUAUGAAGAAGGCCUUCGGGUUGUAAAGUACUUUUGUUAGGGAAGCGGUACCUAAAGAAUAAGCACCGGCGAACUACGUGCCAGCAGCCGCGGUAAUUC
RNAcentral lists this ribosomal RNA (406 nucleotides) under uncultured bacterium. Its description in RNAcentral is "partial 16S ribosomal RNA". It matches the Rfam family "Bacterial small subunit ribosomal RNA", at positions 30 to 526 of the family's 1533-position model. The record is from RNAcentral.